UGGCUCAGGAUGAACGCUGGCGGCGUGCUUAACACAUGCAAGUCGAACGAAGCAUUUUUCGAUUCUUCGGAAAAGGAAAAUGACUGAGUGGCGGACGGGUGAGUAACGCGUGGGAAACCUGCCUUAUACCGGGGGAUAGCAGUUGGAAACGACUGGUAAAACCGCAUAAGCGCACGGGUACGCAUGUAUCUGUGUGAAAAACUCUGGUGGUAUAAGAUGGUCCCGCGUCUGAUUAGGCAGUUGGCGGGGCAGCGGCCCACCAAACCGACGAUCAGUAGCCGACCUGGGAGGGUGACCGGCCCAUUGGGACUGAGACACGGCCCAGACUCCUACGGGAGGCAGCAGUGGGGAAUAA
RNAcentral lists this ribosomal RNA (355 nucleotides) under uncultured rumen bacterium. RNAcentral's name for it is "bacterial SSU rRNA". It matches the Rfam family "Bacterial small subunit ribosomal RNA", at positions 20 to 364 of the family's 1533-position model. The record is from RNAcentral.